AAUGCCUCGAUUAGAUAUCUGUAAAAGACAAUCUAACAUAGUGUAGAUCACUAUGUUAGAUUGUCUUUUACAGAUAUCUAAUCGAGACAUU
Molecule: non-coding RNA, 91 nt
Organism: Pelobates cultripes (western spadefoot toad)
Lineage: Eukaryota; Metazoa; Chordata; Amphibia; Anura; Pelobatidae
Source: the annotation of a GenBank genome assembly